CAGAGGUGGCAAGCGUUGUUCGGAAUUACUGGGCGUAAAGGGCGCGUAGGCGGCCAUCUAAGUCAGACGUGAAAUCCCCCGGCUUAACCUGGGAACUGCGUCUGAUACUGGACGGCUUGAGUAUGGGAGAGGGAUGUAGAAUUCCAGGUGUAGCGGUGAAAUGCGUAGAUAUCUGGAGGAAUACCGGUGGCGAAGGCGGCAUCCUGGACCAUUACUGACGCUGAGGCGCGAAAGCUAGGGGAGCAAACGGGAUUAGAUACCCCGGUAGUCCUAGCCCUAAACGAUGAAUACUUGGUGUGGCGGGUAUCGAUCCCUGCCGUGCCGAAGCUAACGCAUUAAGUAUUCCGCCUGGGGAGUACGGUCGCAAGGCUG
This 372-nucleotide ribosomal RNA is filed under the name uncultured organism. Its description in RNAcentral is "bacterial SSU rRNA". It matches the Rfam family "Bacterial small subunit ribosomal RNA", at positions 526 to 896 of the family's 1533-position model. The record is from RNAcentral.